CCAAUAGCGUAUAUUAAAGUUGUUGCAGUUAAAAAGCUCGUAGUUGAAUUUCGGGAUCAAUAUGUCGGUCGUGCCUCGGUACGUACUGGCGCAAUUGGUUUCUCCCUUCUGAAGAACCUCGAUGUCAUUAAUUUGGUGUCGUGGGGAAUCAGGACUGUUACUUUGAAAAAAUUAGAGUGUUUAAAGCAGGCUCGCGCUUGAAUACAUUAGCAUGGAAUAAUGAAAUAGGACGUUUGAUUCUAUUUUGUUGGUUUCUAGGAUCGACGUAAUGAUUAAUAGGGAUAGUUGGGGGCAUUAGUAUUCAAUUGUCAGAGGUGAAAUUCUUGGAUUUAUUGAAGACUAACUACUGCGAAAGCAUUUGCCAAGGAUGUUUUCAUUAAUCAAGAACGAAAGUUAGGGGAUCGAAGACGAUCAGAUACCGUCGUAGUCUUAACCAUAAACUAUGCCGACUAGGGAUCGGAUGAUGUUGAUUUUUUAAUGACUCAUUCGGCGCCUUACG
This 499-nucleotide ribosomal RNA is filed under the name uncultured Glomeromycotina. Its description in RNAcentral is "partial small subunit ribosomal RNA". It matches the Rfam family "Eukaryotic small subunit ribosomal RNA", at positions 591 to 1092 of the family's 1831-position model. Lineage: Eukaryota; Fungi; Glomeromycota. The record is from RNAcentral.